GCGCACCAGGCGAGAAAACUUCACACUGUGCGAAAAGCACGAUGAGGGAAUCCCAAGUGCUUGCACGUAAGUGUAAGCUGUUUCUCUGUCUAAAACGCAGAGAGAGUAAGGGCUGGGUAAGACGGGUGCCAGCCGCCGCGGUAAUACCUGCAGCUCAAGUGGUGACCGCUAUUAUUGGGCCUAAAACGUCCGUAGCCGGUUUAAUAAAUGCCUGGGUAAAUGGUGUAGCUUAACUAUACGAAUUCCGGGUAGACUGUUAAACUUGAGACCGGGAGAAGUUAGAGGUACUCCUGGGGUAGAGGUGAAAUUCUGUAAUCCUAGGGGGACCACCAGUGGCGAAGGCGUCUAACUAGAACGGGUCUGACGGUGAGGGACGAAGCCCUGGGGCGCAAAC
Molecule: ribosomal RNA, 394 nt
Filed under: uncultured microorganism
Description: bacterial SSU rRNA
Rfam family: Archaeal small subunit ribosomal RNA
Source: RNAcentral